UCACUUAUAGAUGGACCCGCGCCGUAUUAGCUAGUUGGUAAGGUAWCGGCUUACCAAGGCGACGAUACGUAGCCGACCUGAGAGGGUGAUCGGCCACACUGGAACUGAGACACGGUCCAGACUCCUACGGGAGGCAGCAGUAGGGAAUCUUCCGCAAUGGGCGAAAGCCUGACGGAGCAACGCCGCGUGAGUGAUGAAGGUCUUCGGAUCGUAAAACUCUGUUAUUAGGGAAGAACAUACGUGUAAGUAACUAUGCACGUCUUGACGGUACYUAAUCAGAAAGCCACGGCUAACUACGUGCCAGCAGCCGCGGUAAUACGUAGGUGGCAAGCGUUAUCCGGAAUUAUUGGGCGUAAAGCGCGCGUAGGCGGUUUUUUAAGUCUGAUGUGAAAGCCCACGGCUCAACCGUGGAGGGUCAUUGGAAACUGGAAAACUUGAGUGCAGAAGAGGAAAGUGGAAUUCCAUGUGUAGCGGUGAAAUGCGCAGAGAUAUGGAGGAACACCAGUGGCGAAGGCGACUUUCUGGUCUGUAACUGACGCUGAUGUGCGAAAGCGUGGGGAUCAAACAGGAUUAGAUACCCUGGUAGUCCACGCCGUAAACGAUGAGUGCUAAGUGUUAGGGGGUUUCCGCCCCUUAGUGCUGCAGCUAACG
This 651-nucleotide ribosomal RNA is filed under the name uncultured bacterium. RNAcentral describes it as "bacterial SSU rRNA". It matches the Rfam family "Bacterial small subunit ribosomal RNA", at positions 215 to 857 of the family's 1533-position model. The record is from RNAcentral.